This 3095-nucleotide long non-coding RNA is filed under the name Solanum tuberosum (potato). The record is from RNAcentral. Lineage: Eukaryota; Viridiplantae; Streptophyta; Magnoliopsida; Solanales; Solanaceae.
CUGUUCUGAUCUAGGGUUUUACAGCUUUCACUUACUCCAUAAGAGUAAGCUCUGCCCCUUCGAGUUUACAGUUUUCAGUUUCUAUUAGAUUUGUUUGUUUUCAUCUAAUUUCCUUUGGCCUAUGAUUAAAAUUCUUAAAUAUAGACAAGCAUAUGUCUGAAUUUUCAUCAUGUUGAAUACCUAAUCUUCUCUAUGAGGCCAAUUACAUCUAUUUUUUUUUUUUAUGUUUUUCUAUCCAGAUUUCUACUUUUUGUGCUCAAUAAUUCAAACAAAAAACUGGGUCAUAUGAUGAUUAGAAGCAUAGUUCAAAUGAAAUCUAUGUGAUUACAAAACUUCUUUUUUAGUCUUUCGCUCCUAUCUGAUGACUCUUUUUAUUACUAUUAAAAAUCUGAUUUUUAAGCAAUUAAUUGUUGUAUUUUUUUUGAAAAAUUGAAAUGGUUAAUGGACAAUGACGAUUUAUCUAUUGGUCUCGUUCGUCGUAAUGGUGUUUAAACCACCUUGCCGACCAUUCUGAUAUAUCACCACCCAUAAACUGAGUCCUAUUACUAUACCUUUUUUUUUGUUUAUUUUUCAAUUUAGUUCUUCGUUUCUGGUGCUGUGAUGAAAAAAAUCUUGUGUCGGAGGCUUUUUGUCGCUGAUGGUUUACACAACCCUCUAAGAAGUUCUGAGCACUUUUUUUGUUUUCAAUUUCAGUAUUUUUUCUGAUUAUUUAGUAGUAGUAAUUGAAUGAUAAGUAAUUUAUUUUGAGGAUGAAUGAAGUGAUGAUAGAAUUCAUAUGUUAAUUCACUGAAUUACAUUUUUAUGAUGUUAAGAGUGAAUCCCGACAGGUUCUGAUCGUUUAUUAGUUAAUUAAUCCUCCAUUAAUUGUGAUUUUGCUUUGUUAAUUUUAUGUCUUGUGGGCAAAUGAUGAAAUUUUUAUAUCGUAAAUGGGUAAUUUGCGUCUGAAUCUUUCUUUGAUGUUAUAACCUUGGAGAACUGAUGCCCUUUAAACUUUUUACUUUGCAUUUUGUUUUCAUAAUGCCAAUUAGCAGAGCAAAGGUGUCUUUCACAAAUGACACACAUUUGCAUUGAAGGUUGGCUAUAUAUAUAUAGCGAUUCUCCGUGCCUUUCAAGCUUUUUUCUCGUAUUGAUUACGGCCUCGAACAAAUUGCUACAUUUUCUCCCUUCACUGUUGUGCUUAUUUGGUACCUUAGUUGCUUUGUUUUUAACGUAGACAAUUUGCAGAGCAAGGGUGUCUUUCAAAAUGACAUACAUUUGCAUUGAAGGUUGGCCAUAUGUAUAGCGAUUCUCCGUGCCUUUCAAGCUUUCUUCUCGUAUUGAUUACGGCCUCGAACAAAUUGCUACAUCCACCAAUUAUUAUGGUACAUUUAUCUAUAAAUUUGGUUAUAUAAAUGACUUGAUCUUGACAAUGAGUUUGUAUUAUCUAAUUUUAGUUUAAGUUUCUUAAUUAUGCAUAAACUAUUAAAUUUGUGAUCUUAGUAGUUACUCUCUGUAGUAAAUUUGUUUAUUAUCAUUGGCCGAUGAUUAAAUUUCUAAUAUAGACAAGCAUAUGACUGAAUUUUCAUUAUGUUGAAUACCUAAUCUUCUCUAUGAGGCCAAUCAUAUUUUUUCCAUAUUGUUAUGCUUCCUGUGUUCAAUAGUUUUAUAAAAAUAGUUUUUUUUUGUGUUGUCAUUGUUUAUAAACGGGUCAUAUGAUGAUUAAAAGCAUAGUUCAAAUGAAUUCUUUGUGAUUAUAAAACAAUCUUUAUAGUCUUUCGCUCCUAUCUGAUGACUCCUUUUUUAUUUGUGUUAAAGGUAUGAUUUGUUUUUGAAAAUUUUGAAAGGGUUAAUGGACUAUGACGACUUAUAUCUAUUGGUCUCGUUCGUCGUAAUGGUGUUUAAACCACCUUGCCGACCAUUCUGAUAUAUCACCACCCAUAAACUGAGUCCUAUUACUAAACUUUGCUAUUAAUUCUUUUAUUUUCCUGUUCAUUUUGAGAUGUAAUGGUUAUUUUUUACUUUUAUGGUGCUUUGAUGAAAAAAUCUUGUGUCGGAGACUCUGGUCUGUGAUGGCUUACACAACCCUCUAAGAAGUUCUGAGCACUAUUUUUUUUUUAUUUCCAAACACGGAGUAUUGUUUUUCUCGCAAGUAUUCAAUUUUUUAAGAUUAUUUGUUAUGUUAAUGUCUUGUGAGGAGUAACGAAGUGAUGAUAGAAUUCAUAAGUCUGUCAAUCCACUGAAAUACAUUUUAUGAUGUAAAGUGUGAAUCCCGACAGGUUCUGAUCGUUAAGUGAAUAAUCCUCCAUUUACUUUUCCUUUUUGCGCUUACUCAUUUUUGAACUUUAGUUUUAUGGGCAACUGAUGAAUCUUAUAUAUCGUAAAUGGGUAAUUUGCGUCUGAAUCUUUUCAUUGAUGCUAUCAACCUUGGAGAACUGAUGCCCUUGAAAAAUUUUAUUUUGUAUUUGAAUGAUUUUGAUGUGGGCUAGUAACUUUUGGAUGAUUGGUCUGAUAAGAGUAUAGGAGUGGGAAAUUAGGGUGAUCAGUGAUGGAGUGUAGGCCUCCCGUGAUGUGCCCUUGUUUCCUAGAGAAUGGCAAGUAACUAAUGUGGGAUCGUGUAACCGACAUUGCAAUCGAUGAUGACAACCCUUCCAAUACGAUUCAACAUCGGUUACUUUUCUACCAACUAAGUUAUGCAGCUGUCUUGGAGAUUGUAAGUUAACAGGCAGUUUUUUUCUGGGAUUUGAUACAUUUGGUCCACCCAUGUUGAACCAAAGAGGAAAUGAUGUGUAUUUAUUGUCAUCUGACUUGCAUUCCAUAUGUGGAUGUUAAAGUGGUGAAUGAUUCAUUAUAACUGAUCCUCUCAGUGUAAGUUGAAAAUAUCGUUUUGAUUAUGUUAAAUAUGUUCAGAAGAUUGCUUAUGAAAAGUAUUGUCUUUUAUUUAUUUGUGAUCAUUGGCUUGUUGUGUAGUUUCCUAAUUCACCAAAGAAGAUGCAGCUGAUAGAUGUAAAUUUAGAGUUUGAGACGUAGCAACAGAAAAAUUCUAUUGGAAGGCUUGUUAGUUGUAAAUUAUACUGAUGUAUUAAAACCUAUGUCAGAAUGUAACUGGCUCCAUAUUU